RNAcentral lists this ribosomal RNA (1280 nucleotides) under Luperomorpha xanthodera. Its description in RNAcentral is "16S ribosomal RNA". The record is from RNAcentral. Lineage: Eukaryota; Metazoa; Arthropoda; Insecta; Coleoptera; Chrysomelidae.
AAAUAAAAUAUUAUUGUUUAUUUAAUUAUUAAAAAUUAAUAUUUAAAAUAAUAUAUAUUUUAUUAAAUUUUAAGAAAAAAUUAUUUUAAUUAUAGUUAAAAGUAUUGUGAAAGAAUUAUUUUUUUAUACCAAAGAAAAAUUUAUUUUUUGUACCUUGUGUAUCAGGGUUUAUUAAAAAUAAUUUAAUUAUUUAAUUAUUUCGAAUUUAAAAGAGCUAAAAAGUUAUAAUUUUUACUGUAAAAUAAUUAUUUUCAAUAAUUUUUUAGUAAUGAAAUGUUAUUCGUUUUUAAAUAUAUCUAGUUUUUUAAGAAAUAAAUUUAAUUUAUUUAUUAUUAAUAUUUAUAUGUUUUUAUAUUAAAAUAUUUAUAAUAUUAAAUAUUUUUAGGGAUGAUCUUAAAAAUAAAUUAUUAUUAGAUUUUUAUUAGUUAAUAAAUUAUUAGAAUUAAAAAUUUUCAUAUUUUAAAGUAUAUUAUUAUUUAUUUUUAUAAAUUAUUAUUUUUAUUUUAUCUAUAAAUUUUUUAUUAAAAUAUAUUUUUAAAUUAUUAAAAAUUAGAAAUAAUGAUAAAAUUAGUAUAAAAUUUUAUAUAAAUAUCAAAUUAUUUUAGGUUAAAUAAAGGAAUUCGGCAAAUCAUUUUUCACCUGUUUAUUAAAAACAUGUCUUUUUGUUUAAAAUUUAAAGUCUAGCCUGCCCAAUGAUAUAUUUAAUGGCCGCGGUAUUUUGACCGUGCUAAGGUAGCAUAAUCAUUAGUUUUUUAAUUAAAAACUGGAAUGAAGGGUUGGAUGAAAAAGUAACUGUCUUUAUUUUAUUUAAUUAGAAAUUUAUUUUUAAGUUCAAAAGCUUAAAUUAUUUUAAAAGACGAGAAGACCCUAUAGAGUUUAAUAAAUUAAUUUAUUUAAAUGUUUGGAAUUUUAUAUUUUAAUAUUUUUUAUUUAUUUAAUUGGGGUGAUUAAAAAAUUUAAUAAACUUUUUUUUCUUAUUAAUAUUGAUUAAUAAAUUAUUGAUCUUAAAAUUUUGAUUAUAAGAUUAAAUUACCUUAGGGAUAACAGCGUAAUUUUAUUGGAGAGUUCAAAUUGAUAAUAAAGAUUGCGACCUCGAUGUUGGAUUAAAAUUUAUAAUUGGUGUAGAAGCUAUAUUAUUAAGUCUGUUCGACUUUUAAAAUUUUACAUGAUCUGAGUUUAAACCGGUGUAAGCCAGGUUGGUUUCUAUCUUUAAAUUUUUAAUAUAUUUUAGUACGAAAGGACCAAAUAUAUAAAUAAUAUUUUUUUUAUAGAUUAAUAAU